GCUUGGGAACUUGCCUUUGCGAGGGGAGUAACAGUUGGAACGACUGCUAAUACCGCAUAAUGUCUUCGGACCAAACGGGGACGUUCGGCUCCGGCGCAAAGAGAGGCCCAAGUGAGAUUAGCUAGUUGGUAAGGUAACGGCUUACCAAGGCGACGAUCUCUAGCUGUUCUGAGAGGAAGAUCAGCCACACUGGGACUGAGACACGGCCCAGACUCCUACGGGAGGCAGCAGUAGGGAAUCAUCCGCAAUGGGCGAAAGCCUGACGGUGCAACGCCGCGUGAGUGAUGAAGGUUUUCGGAU
RNAcentral lists this ribosomal RNA (300 nucleotides) under uncultured Alteromonadaceae bacterium. Its description in RNAcentral is "bacterial SSU rRNA". It matches the Rfam family "Bacterial small subunit ribosomal RNA", at positions 115 to 423 of the family's 1533-position model. The record is from RNAcentral. Lineage: Bacteria; Pseudomonadati; Pseudomonadota; Gammaproteobacteria; Alteromonadales; Alteromonadaceae.